Molecule: ribosomal RNA, 467 nt
Filed under: uncultured bacterium
Lineage: Bacteria
Description: partial 16S ribosomal RNA
Rfam family: Bacterial small subunit ribosomal RNA
Source: RNAcentral
GACGAACGCUGGCGGCGUGCUUAACACAUGCAAGUCGAACGGAAAGGCCCUGCUUUUGUGGGGUGCUCGAGUGGCGAACGGGUGAGUAACACGUGAGUAACCUGCCCUUGACUUUGGGAUAACUUCAGGAAACUGGGGCUAAUACCGGAUAGGAGCUCCUGCUGCAUGGUGGGGGUUGGAAAGUUUCGGCGGUUGGGGAUGGACUCGCGGCUUAUCAGCUUGUUGGUGGGGUAGUGGCUUACCAAGGCUUUGACGGGUAGCCGGCCUGAGAGGGUGACCGGCCACAUUGGGACUGAGAUACGGCCCAGACUCCUACGGGAGGCAGCAGUGGGGAAUAUUGCACAAUGGGCGGAAGCCGGAUGCAGCAACGCCGCGUGCGGGAUGACGGCCUUCGGGUGGUAAACCGCUUUCGCCUGUGACGAAGCGUGAGUGACGGUAAUGGGUAAAGAAGCACCGGCUAACUACGG